RNAcentral lists this ribosomal RNA (889 nucleotides) under Rhodococcus sp. C4R14_pA. RNAcentral's name for it is "bacterial SSU rRNA". It matches the Rfam family "Bacterial small subunit ribosomal RNA", at positions 8 to 916 of the family's 1533-position model. Lineage: Bacteria; Bacillati; Actinomycetota; Actinomycetes; Mycobacteriales; Nocardiaceae. The record is from RNAcentral.
AGAGUUUGAUCCUGGCUCAGGACGAACGCUGGCGGCGUGCUUACCAUGCAGUCGAGCGGUAAGGCCCUUCGGGGUACACGAGCGGCGAACGGGUGAGUAACACGUGGGUGAUCUGCCCUGCACUUCGGGAUAAGCCUGGGAAACUGGGUCUAAUACCGGAUAUGACCUCCGAUCGCAUGGUUGGUGGUGGAAAGAUUUAUCGGUGCAGGAUGGGCCCGCGGCCUAUCAGCUUGUUGGUGGGGUAAUGGCCUACCAAGGCGACGACGGGUAGCCGACCUGAGAGGGUGACCGGCCACACUGGGACUGAGACACGGCCCAGACUCCUACGGGAGGCAGCAGUGGGGAAUAUUGCACAAUGGGCGAAAGCCUGAUGCAGCGACGCCGCGUGAGGGACGACGGCCUUCGGGUUGUAAACCUCUUUCAGCAGGGACGAAGCGCAAGUGACGGUACCUGCAGAAGAAGCACCGGCUAACUACGUGCCAGCAGCCGCGGUAAUACGUAGGGUGCAAGCGUUGUCCGGAAUUACUGGGCGUAAAGAGUUCGUAGGCGGUUUGUCACGUCGUUUGUGAAAACUCACAGCUCAACUGUGAGCCUGCAGGCGAUACGGGCAGACUUGAGUACUGCAGGGGAGACUGGAAUUCCUGGUGUAGCGGUGAAAUGCGCAGAUAUCAGGAGGAACACCGGUGGCGAAGGCGGGUCUCUGGGCAGUAACUGACGCUGAGGAACGAAAGCGUGGGUAGCGAACAGGAUUAGAUACCCUGGUAGUCCACGCCGUAAACGGUGGGCGCUAGGUGUGGGUUCCUUCCACGGAAUCCGUGCCGUAGCUAACGCAUUAAGCGCCCCGCCUGGGGAGUACGGCCGCAAGGCUAAAACUCAAAGGAAUUGACGG